RNAcentral lists this ribosomal RNA (301 nucleotides) under uncultured bacterium. RNAcentral describes it as "partial 16S ribosomal RNA". It matches the Rfam family "Bacterial small subunit ribosomal RNA", at positions 509 to 807 of the family's 1533-position model. The record is from RNAcentral.
CAGCAGCCGCGGUAAUACAGAGGGUGCGAGCGUUAAUCGGAUUUACUGGACGUAAAGCGUGCGUAGGCGGCUUUUUAAGUCGGAUGUGAAAUCCCUGAGCUUAACUUAGGAAUUGCAUUCGAUACUGGGAAGCUAGAGUAUGGGAGAGGAUGGUAGAAUUCCAGGUGUAGCGGUGAAAUGCGUAGAGAUCUGGAGGAAUACCGAUGGCGAAGGCAGCCAUCUGGCCUAAUACUGACGCUGAGGUACGAAAGCAUGGGGAGCAAACAGGAUUAGAUACCCCUGUAGUCCCUGUCUCUUAUAC